Molecule: long non-coding RNA, 1575 nt
Organism: Coturnix japonica (Japanese quail)
Lineage: Eukaryota; Metazoa; Chordata; Aves; Galliformes; Phasianidae
Source: RefSeq, a predicted model, not a curated record
ACUCUCCAAUUUAGGCUCCUUAUUGCCCAUUCAUUUCUAACAGCUGUUUCUAAUGGUCAGAUGGAAACUGUAAGAGGAAAUGGUCUGAGUUCAGCUCUGCAAAAGAAGAGAUAGAAAACCAUAUUACGGGCAGGUAUAGAGCAGUGUCCCAUUUGGGAACGUCAUCUCCUUUUUCCCUGGGGCAGCAAGCAUCCAGCUCAAGGCACCAGGGUUAAUGUCCUUUGCAAAUACUUAUCCGGCCUAAUAGAUCUGGGGAUACUGCUAUCACUCACAGAUAUUUCAAAAUCUCUCCUCUUAAUCCUGACAAGCUCUUGCCCUUAAUAACUUCAGUGGGACUCUUGCCAGAGCAAAGACUGUCAAGUCAGAUUCUCAAAUGUAACAAAAAGAAAAGCAGGAAAGGAAGUUCAAGGUGGGUUUUGUUUUUGUUUUUGGUGCUUUUUAUGGACGUUUGUGGAUGGAAACUUGGGAUUUUUUCCUUCUGAUUAUCUAAAUGAUGGAUGAGUCAAAUGUCCUGUGAAAGUCUUCCAGAUCCAGCCACAAAUGGCAUAGGAUGAAGAGAGCAAAGCCAACAGGGGCUGAGAACAGACAGAGAAAGAAGACUGAGAGAGUCAAAUGGAAGAGAAACAGCAGACUCAAUGGGAAGAAGGAGAUUUCAGAGGGAAGCGGGGAUCAUUUGUGGAGCUUAUACACAGAAAUAUCCAUUUUUGGUUAGUGAAUAUUUAAGAAUGUUGUGUCAUAACGUAUAAUGUAAUAAUGUAAUAAUCAGUUGUUGUGAGUUAGACAACUGGUUGCUCAUGGCUGCAGUGUGUUAGGUGGUACCUCCUUACAUCCUUUGGACACUUUUUGCAGUGCUCAUUCUCCUGUGACACAGAUUAUCUCAGCUUUCAUUAAAAGCGAGAGGAAUAUUUCUAUACUCUCUCUGUCACAGAAAACCUAGAAAACAUGGAGCUGAGAGACACAAAGCAAAUAAAGCCCCAGUUCCCAUUUUGAGGCAUUCUCUGAUUGCUGGAGACGUUCUCGCUCUGGGGAUGAGGAGGGCAGAUCGAUGGUUUGCAGCACUGAAGGCACACACUGCUGAUAAGCAAUGAGCUCUUGUGGCGAUAUGAGCCACAGGAGGCAACAAGCAGCAAGAACAGAAGACGGGAGCGGCUUUAAGAAAGACUUGGCCUUUUCCUGCAGCCCUUUCAGAGCAGCGCAAGGUGCCCUAGGAUCCCUCCAGGCAGCAGCUCUGAAGCAGGACAGCUUUCUCUGCUCAGCUCUACAUCGUCCACGUGAGGCUUGGCAAGCUGACCUCCCCCUGCAGGGCAGGCUUGAUCCAGCUCCCACUGAGAGAUAUGAAAUUGCUUCAACAGAAACAGGACCUGACCUUAAGUGAGAGACAAGCCAGGACCUGGAGCAGCCCCAGCCGCGUGACACAGGCACAGACACGCCAGCAGCCACCUCCUCACCCUGCCCUGAUGCCCUUGGAAACAGGUGUGAUGGAAAUACCAUGGAAACGUGAGACAAGUGGAGCCAUCAGUUCACAGCCUCUCCAGCAGCAGUUUCAUCAGGGAGAGCAGAGCUGACAUCACGUGG